CUAGCGGCAGGCCUCAUACAUGCAAGUCGAGGGGCAGCAUUUAUUUCGGUAAAUGGCGACCGGCGAACGGGUGCGUAACGCGUAUGCAACCUACCUUUAACUGGGGCAUAGCUCGAAGAAAUUCGAAUUAAUUCCCCAUAGUACAAUAUUAUCGCAUGAUAUAAUUGUUAAAGAUUUAUUGGUUAAAGAUGGGCAUGCGUCUGAUUAGUUUGUUGGUGAGGUAACGGCUCACCAAGACCACGAUCAGUAGGGGUUCUGAGAGGAUGAUCCCCCACAUUGGUACUGAGACACGGACCAGACUUCUACGGAAGGCAGCAGUAAGGAAUAUUGGGCAAUGGGCGAAAGCCUGACCCAGCCAUGCCGCGUGCAGGAUUGAAGACCUUAUGGGUUGUAAACUGCUUUUAUAUAGGAAGAAAAUACUCUUGCGAGAGUAACUGACGGUACUAUAUGAAUAAGGACCGGCUAACUCCGUGCCAGCAGCCGCGGUAAUACGGAGGGUUCAAGCGUUAUCCGGAUUUAUUGGGUUUAAAGAGUGCGUAGGUGGUUUAUUAAGUCAGUGGUGAAAUCCUGCAGCUCAACUGUAGAACUGCCAUUGAUACUGGUAAACUUGAGUUUGGUUGAGGUAAGCGGAAUUUAUGAUGUAGCGGUGAAAUGCAUAGAUAUCAUAAGGAACACCAAUAGCGUAGGCAGCUUACUGGACCAAUACUGACACUGAGGCACGAAAGCGUGGGUAGCGAACAGGAUUAGAUACCCUGGUAGUCCACGCCGUAAACGAUGCUCACUCGAUGUUAGCGAUAUACUGUUAGCGUCCAAGCUAAAGCGUUAAGUGAGCCACCUGGGUAGUACGCC
This 849-nucleotide ribosomal RNA is filed under the name uncultured Cytophagales bacterium. Its description in RNAcentral is "bacterial SSU rRNA". It matches the Rfam family "Bacterial small subunit ribosomal RNA", at positions 36 to 886 of the family's 1533-position model. Lineage: Bacteria; Pseudomonadati; Bacteroidota; Sphingobacteriia; Sphingobacteriales. The record is from RNAcentral.